GAUGAACGCUGGCGGCGUGCCUAAUACAUGCAAGUCGAGCGAACAGAUAAGGAGCUUGCUCCUUUGUCGUUAGCGGCGGACGGGUGAGUAACACGUGGGUAACUUACCUAUAAGACUGGAAUAACUCCGGGAAACCGGGGCUAAUGCCGGAUAACAUGUUGAACCGCAUGGUUCUACAGUGAAAGGCGGCUUUGCUGUCACUUAUAGAUGGACCCGCGCCGUAUUAGCUAGUUGGUGAGGUAACGGCUCACCAAGGCAACGAUACGUAGCCGACCUGAGAGGGUGAUCGGCCACACUGGAACUGAGACACGGUCCAGACUCCUACGGGAGGCAGCAGUAGGGAAUCUUCCGCAAUGGGCGAAAGCCUGACGGAGCAACGCCGCGUGAGUGAUGAAGGUCUUCGGAUCGUAAAACUCUGUUAUUAGGGAAGAACAAAUGCGUAAGUAACUGUGCGCGUCUUGACGGUACCUAAUCAGAAAGCCACGGCUAACUACGUG
RNAcentral lists this ribosomal RNA (497 nucleotides) under uncultured bacterium. Its description in RNAcentral is "partial 16S ribosomal RNA". It matches the Rfam family "Bacterial small subunit ribosomal RNA", at positions 28 to 507 of the family's 1533-position model. The record is from RNAcentral.